GAGGGUCUAGCUCAGUGGUAGAGCAUAUGCUUAGCAUGCAUAAGGUCCUGGGUUCAAUCCCCAGUACCGCCA
RNAcentral lists this transfer RNA (72 nucleotides) under Camelus bactrianus (Bactrian camel). It matches the Rfam family "tRNA". From Rfam's summary of the family: Transfer RNA (tRNA) molecules are approximately 80 nucleotides in length. Lineage: Eukaryota; Metazoa; Chordata; Mammalia; Artiodactyla; Camelidae. RNAcentral also lists the same sequence under 2 other names. The record is from Rfam by way of RNAcentral.